CAGCAGAGUGAUAAUGACCAGAGAGUCUGUUUCUCUUACGUUGUUUGAAGAAAAAAUGUUGGCCAGAGUGCCUCUCCUGCUCUUCCUCAAAAUAUUAUCAUGUUAUCUUUCAGCUUGAGAGAACAAACCAGACUUCACUCUAACAUCUCAUCCAACAGUGCAAAGAGUGCCAGUCAAAAUCUUUGAGCUUGUCUUUGGGGUGGGUUUGAAAUCAACAACUUUCUGACCACAGAGACAAUAAUGAAACCCUCAGACCCACGGUUGAUGUAAAACUGAUCUGCUUUGAUGCAUGUCAUUCUUAAAAUUAAACACAGUCUCUCGCACACACCUCCAUGGGUCCUGCUCUCAGCCCUGCACAGAAUCUCUGAUUAUCUUAAUAUAUUAUGUAACUGCUGACAACACACUCCACCUUCAAGUUUCAUAUCCCAAACCCUUUGUUGUAACACAGAGCAGCUGACCAGCGAACACCUAAAAGGAGCACCACCCCUAACUUGCUGAGUUUCCAAACAAAGGCUUUGCACAAUUUGACUGCUGCCAGAUCUGGGACCCGUGAUUCAUGCACGAGCCUGGAGAAAGAAGGCUCGGUCUGGUGCAGAGAUAAUUAUUAACAAGAUGGCAAGCAGAAAAUUAUGAAAUUCUCUGUUUACAAUUGUGGUUGAGUUUCCAGGACUUAUAAAGGCUAUAAAAUCAUUUCCAUUGAAUUAUGCUGUCAAAACACGCAAAUUCUCUGCAUUUUCACAAAAGACAACAUUGAUUGGUUCGUUAGCAUUUUGGAACAAACUCAAGAUUAUUAAUAAACUGACUGAAAAUGUCAGUAGCUGGUGAUUUAUAUAUGGUUAAAAUUAAAUGGGUUUCAUGUGAGUGACCCAAGGAAGUGAGUAGGAUUGUCAAUCUGACGCUAUCCUGAUGGUGAAAAUGGCUAACACGAGGGGGCAUAAUUUUAAGGUGACUGGAGGAAGGUGUAAGGGGGAUGUCAGAGAUCAGCAGAACUGACUCAAAGUAAACAGGAGCAGCCUUCCAGCAGUCACACAGAAGACACUACAACAUAGUCAACCUCCCCCCCACCCCCACCAACAAGGUUGUCAAAGGGAAAAGGCUCUAGGCCUCAGUGAAUACUCUUCACUCGGAUUGAAGAGCAUUGCUGCAUCUUGACCCAUUCACCCAUUUUGGCGGAUCUCCUGUGGAGGUUGGAGGAAGGAUAUCUAUUCUGAGCAGCCAGGAAAAGUUCUGUGGGGAGUGAGGAGAACAAACUGUGUCAAUCCUUGGCAUUGACUGCAAACCCUGACUGUGAUGACUGAAACAUCGAGGCACUUUACUAACCCUGAUUUUAACGUAAACUGGCUGGUGGGAAAUGGAGGGAAAGAUGUUAAAAUUUCGAAGUUACAUCACAUGGUACAGUUUGUGUGUCUUCUGCCCUGCUGAAGGUUCUCACUCUGUAACAACAAGUCGGAGGCCUAAGCAAGUUUGUCAAUUUGUCUGAUUCACAGAACUCAUAUGAUUAACAUUCAACAAAGCCAUUCUAAAUCUGCCCGUGUGAAUA
Long non-coding RNA from Pristis pectinata (smalltooth sawfish), 1540 nucleotides. RefSeq lists it as uncharacterized. The record is from RefSeq and is a predicted model, not a curated record. Lineage: Eukaryota; Metazoa; Chordata; Chondrichthyes; Rhinopristiformes; Pristidae. The transcript has 4 exons.